ACGCGUCUCCUCAGCGGCGCAUGUCUGCGGAUCCCGCGGCAGGAGCGUGUGGAUGUUCGACAGCUGCGCUCACAAAAACACACGUAAAGCACAGGGGCCCUCUGAGCCAUUGGGCCCAUGGACCAGUCCCUUUGGAUAAUCAAUUCAUGACUCAACCAGAUAGAAAACUGAAAUGAUAAAGAUCUAAAGAUAAUCUUCUACAGAGGCUCCUCUGAUUUAGAGCUCAGAAAAUGUUGGACCUGUCGUUUGCAUCCAUGCUAGUUUGAG
This is a long non-coding RNA of Paralichthys olivaceus (Japanese flounder), 267 nucleotides long. RefSeq lists it as uncharacterized. NCBI's taxonomy places the organism in Eukaryota, Metazoa, Chordata, Actinopteri, Pleuronectiformes, Paralichthyidae. The record is from RefSeq and is a predicted model, not a curated record.